Oryctolagus cuniculus (rabbit) is the source of this 7010-nucleotide non-coding RNA. NCBI's taxonomy places the organism in Eukaryota, Metazoa, Chordata, Mammalia, Lagomorpha, Leporidae. The record is from RefSeq and is a predicted model, not a curated record.
GUUGGAGGAGGCGGGUGGUGCGUGGCGACCCUGCGUCACAGGUGGGUGCGUGACGGAGGAGGCGGGCGGGGUGUGGUGACCCUGCGUCACAGGUGGGUGCGUGACCAUGUAGGCGGGCGGUGCGUAGUGACCCCGCGUCACAAGUGGAUGCGUGACGGAGGAGGCUGCGGGGCGUGGUGCCCUCGCCUGGCUGCCCGCAGAGGAGGUUUUGCUGUCCACGCGCUCCCCGGUUGUUGUCCGGGACCUGAGCGGCUGUUCCGUGGCCGUGGGGACGCGCGACAAGCGCGCGGGCUUGGAGAAUGGGUUCCGCGCUGUCCCGGCUGGGAGGCCUCCCAGCCGGGAAGCACAGUCCUGCGCUUCCGCCCAGUGUUCGUUGCCCCGGCAUGUUUACAACCCCCAUUUUCUACCCUGGUGCAAUACACAGGACCAUGAAUUUGCCAUCGUAGCCACUUCCCGUGUCCGUUCCUAACGUGGCGCCUUCCCUCUCCAGCUGUCCUGCAGCGCCGAGCACGCGCCCUCCUUCCCGGGAGUGCCUAGCCCCGCUGUGCUGGGGUGGCCUAACCCCAUCACCGGGGUGACCCCUCAGGGUCCUGAGCCAGCAGGUGCUGCCGGACUCCCCGGGCCUGCCUGCCGGUCCGCGGUACCAUCAGGGCAUCUCAGGGCAGAUGGGGGCGAUGCUACCCGACGGACCCUGGGGGUCUGGGGACCCCCGUGGCCGUGACGACAGGGUUCGGGUGCUACUGCGAGCUGCCCAACGCCUGCAGAAACACGGGACAGCCCCCCACUCACUGAACCCCGACGGGGAAGCUGAGAACCCGUGGUGAAGCCCACUCACAUUUUGUGCUCAGUGUCCGUGUGCGGAGUCAGCCGCUGCGUGCACAGAAAGUGCUCCUGCCCAGAACAGUCACUUGGGCUGUCUCCACCGCUGCAGGAAGUCCCGGGGACAACGCCAGAUGUCACCUGCGGUCCAGGGACCCGCAGAUUGGAAGAAGUUGCAGGCAUGCUUUGUGCAGCGAGCAGUCGGGUGCCUACUGCUUCUAUCCGAGCUGUGCGCGGAUGCCACGCGGUAGGGAUCCUCAUUGCCUGUUCUUUGAUGGGGAGAGACAGGCAGGCUCAUGGCCCAGAGGUGUCCUGUGGUCGGACCCACAGUUGGCUUCAGCAGCUGACCGUCCACUCGGACUUGCCGUUAGUCCCGUGCUCGGCAGCCCGGCCUCCCGUCUGCACCUUCAGAGCCCCAGGCCACACUCCUGAGUGGGACGGCAGUGCUACCUUUCUCCCCCACCAGAGGAUUAAACUUCCUGCCUCCUUCGUCCUCAAACCUUGUCCUGGUCAUUUGGAUGUGGCACCGUUAACAAGGACGAACUUUCAGUAGCACCAGGUCACAGUCGGACCUUCGAAAGACUGCAAGGUCCAAGGAGGAGGGAAGAACGGGGGUGGAGGUACCCCCCCAUCACCCCCACCCCAGCGAGCCAGCCGGGGACAUGCAACCCCAAGGGCUGGUCUUGCCCACAUCCUAGAGCCACCCUGUGGAUCUAGCUGGAGUCCCGCCGAGCACUGCUGGCCAGGUGGUGAGUCUGGCUGACUGGCAGCCCCUGGCACAGGGCUUCCCCAUAGACAUAGGCUGCUGGGGUAGCCAAGAGAACAUCGACAGCCCUGUGAAGUCCGCAGAGCAGCAUGUAGGAAGAAAAGCUAGACUCCUGCAGUGAAUACCAUGAACUCCAUCACACCUGAGAAAACUAAUAGCUCUCCAGCCUCAGUCCCGCGACCUGGGCCCUCACAUCUCCCCUUUCCCCGUCUCACGUGGUCUCAGGAUUCUGGAAACACUGCUGUAAGACAUUUUAGGGGCAGCUGUCUGUUCUGCCCACAGGCUGACCAGUCCCUCUGCGGUGCCCAGGGAGGGGACCUCUGAGGCGGCAGUGGUGAUCAGAACUGAAGGCUAGGGGCCGGCACUGUGGCGUAGCGGGUAAAGCCAUGUGGGCGCCGGUGUGAGUCCCGGCUGCUCCGAUGCUGAUCUGGCUCUCUGCUGUGACCUGGGAAAGCAGCAGAAGAUGGCCCAAGCCCUUGGGCCCCUGCACCCACAUGGGAGACCUGGAGAAGCUCCUGGCUUCGCAUCAGCACAGCUCCAGCUGUUGCAGCCAUCGGGGGAGUGAACCUGUGGAUGGAAGCUCUCUCUCUCUCUGCCUCUGCCUCUCUGUAACUCUGCCUUUCAAAUAGAUAAAUAUAUCUUAAAAAAAAAAAAACCUGGAGGAUGGACAGGUGUUGCCUGGAGAGGACACACAGGCAAACUCCAGUCAAAGCAGAGGACCCAAUGCCCGGGCAGCAGCCUAGAGAGGGAGGGGCUGAGGGCAGGUGGCAGAGUGCUGUGAGCUGAAACUGGGAACAGGGCAGCAGGGGACUCGGAAGAUGGCCAGGAGGCUGUACCAAAGCUGGCCCUGGGCUCCAUGGGUGACUGGCAGGUCAGGGAGGCACUUGGGGGAUAGGAAGCAGGUGCUGGGGGGUGGGACUGCAAGGGUGGUGGUGAUGGGAGGUGGGGAGAGGGGCCAAGCCAGGACCAGCUUCCUGGCCAAGGGGCAAGGAUGGACAGUCACCACCAGCCGGGUGCCCCUGGGAGGAGAAAGUGCAGACCAGGGCAUCACUGCCCCAGGGGCUGCCCGGCUCCCGCAAACGCUAAAGCUGAAUGCCUUUCCUCCCAUCCUGAUGCAGCUGCAGGUUCAGCACGGAGAGGGAAAACCAAGUCAGACCGCGGAGCGAUUCCCAGGACGUGCAGUUGUUCCGUGGACCCCAGGGUGUGACUCAGCUGCCCGCUCCAGGCAUGGACUUGAGGUGCCUUAGGGAGGCGAGUAAGCUGGCUCCUGGUGUGGUCCUGCUGGUGAGGAGCCAGGGCAGUGGACGGACCGCCAGGGGUGUGUGCUGGAGAGGAACGGUGGAGAGAGGUGGCACAGACGGGACAGGGCAGAUGGUGCUGCCAGGUGUGGGGACAUCACACCCUCGGAAUGCAAGAAGGGAGUGCAGUGUCACCUUGAAACCUGAGCUCCGGCUUCCUUGAAGCCCAGGGGCGGGUGUACUUCACGCUGACUGGCCAAGGCUCCUCCCUACACAGCCGGGCUCCCAAGGGUGUGGGGCUGAGCCUGCAGGCACCCUCUCGAGCCCCAAGCUUGCUGACCUUCCGCGGUGGGAGUGGGUGCCCAGCAGGCCCCUAGCUCUGAGGACAGAGUCGUCUUCUCUGAGCCAAGUCUGCCAUGCUGGCUGCCCCUCCACUGAGCAGAGCAGGGUGCAGGGCCCUGGGGGAGACCCACGGACUCGAAGGCUCGGUAUUUCCACAGUCACGCUUUCUCUUGCCCACCCUCCCCAACAUCUGCCUGGAAAGCCAGGUGUGCACACCGAGCCCCUUCCCGGAACCUCGGUCAAUAUGGGUCUACCCCUCGGGCAGCGGGUGCCCGGGAUUCCAGAACACAGAGAUCCUGAGUGCAGCUCAUGUUGUAGCGAUGGUGUUGGUGAGUUCCAGGAGCCUGCUGAGAGGGAUGGCAGGCCUCACGCCUGCCAUCAGCAAUCAGGAGGCCCUGGACGCUCCAGGAGCAGAGCCCCAGGACCUGCCCCGCCGCCCCCGAUGGACUCAGUGGUUCCUCCCACCCCCCGCAGCUGCCCCUCUUCUUCAAAGACCCCUUUUGCUGGCUCCUUGGAAGGAACAGCACACGUGUGACCCAGAGACCACUCUUCCCCCAAGACCGCGGUUUCUCUCACCAACGCUUGUCUCUGAUGAGUUGGCUGCCCGGCGGCGAGCAGCAGGGGCCUGACGAUCUUGUCCAGUAACAGGAGGAGGGCCAGCACUGGGCCCCGACAAGGAGCACUUCCCUGGGCAUGAUGCUGGAGAGACCCCACACCCUGCAGGCUAGGGGUGAGCGGCCAGUGUCCAGCUCUGAGCUACAGCAGGGGGAAAUGCCGCGGGCCAUGGCCCUGCCAACAGUGCUCUGGACGGCUGAGUGACGAGGCCAUGGCCCGCGGCAUGGGUGGCUGGGUGACCGCUGGCUGUCCCGUGCAGCUCCCUGCCUGCAGUGGCACUCUGUGUGCUGCCCAGGUGGACGGACAGCUGUUUUCCACCAGUGACCAGGCUCCCAGCUGGUGAACGGAUGAGCGGAGAGUUCAAGGCACAAACAGAAGUUCACAUCGCGCUGAGAUCUGGAACUUGCCGCCAGCAAGGGCCCCCCUCCCGUGCUUUCACGCGUCCGUUCACGGGUGUGCCCGGGUGUCGCCUGUGCAGGCUUCUUCCAGGCGCCAGAGUCCAGAGCAAGCCACUCCCGGCCUUGUCUCCCUGGGGUUUCCUCUUUGAAGAGAUCACCUGUAGCUGCUUCUCAAACCUGAAAGCCAGACUGGUGUCAGUCCCACCUGUGUGUGUGCGCGGUCCAGAGCCAGGAGCCCGUUGCAGAUGGCUUGCAGUUAGUUCAUACCUCCCCGAAGUAAUUAGUAUUUAAAUAAUACACACCUUACGGUCAUUAAAGCAGAAUUAAAAAUAAAGGGUUGUAACAGUCCUGGAGAACAAGGGAACUUGAGUAAUGGGAGUUUGUUGUUUACACGAAUCAGUGUUGCAAGUUUGGUGUUAGACCCCCCCUAAGGGGAGGGAGUGACGCUUGGGGAGCCGGACUGCGAAAUGCACCCUCCAGCCAACGUUCGCCCGCCACCAGGCAGUGGCAUGAGCUGAAUCCAGCACAGCCUCUGCUUCAGAGACCUCCCCUUGAGAAUAGAGAUGAGCAGACAGGUCCACACCCGGUCCCAGAGGAAGGAGUAAGCUGUUGCUUCAAGUGUUAAAAGGGGGCUUGGGGGUGCCACGGCAUGGCAGGGGAAGCUGCCGCCUGUGCUGCUGACAUCCCAUACAGGCGCCAGUUUGUGUCCUGGCUGCUCCGCUUCUGAUCCAGCUCUCGCUAAUGGCCUGGGUAAAGCAGCAAAAGAUGGCCCAGGUCCUUGGGUCCUGCCACCUAUGUGGGAGACCUGGAAGAACCUCCUGGCUCCUGGCUUUGACCUGGCUGUGGUGGCCAUCUGGGGAGUAAAACAGUGGGUGGAAUCAAUCAAUCUCCCUCUCUCUCCCUCUCCUUCUCUGUAACUCUGGCUUUCAAAUAAAUAAAUUUUAAAAAGAGAAAAAGCAAGGGGGACAGACAAUUUGGAAAUAGAGAUGCUUGCCUCCUACGCUGGAGAACCUGGCUCUGGCUGCUGACUCCUGCUGUCUGGGAAGGCGCAAUGCCGGCACUUGGGCUCCUGCCACCUACAUGGGAAACCUGGGCUGAGUUCCCAGCUCCUGCCUUGGCCCUGCCCCUGCCAUUUCAGGGCAUCUGGAGACUGAAGCAGAGGAUGAAGUGCCCCUGCCUCCCGGUUCUCUCUUCCUCUGUAUUACUCUGUCUCUGAAGUAAAAAAUAAAUAAAUAAAAAGGAUGAGAGAGUGGAUCUGAGUCCUGCUCACAACUCCAUGCUCCUCAUAGGGAAACUGUCUAUCAUAGCAGGGAGCCAGGGCAGGUGUUGGCACACACAGGGGCUCCACGGGCUGCUGGCCUGCUCCCUGUGUCUGUAAGUGAUGAUGCCAAUGCCUGGCCCCAGCAGGUGCUUGUGAGUGGCAGGUGGUGUCAGUACCCAAGGGCAACAGCACCUCUGUGAACUGAGUGCCCAGGAGGGUACCUGUGGCCCUCAGUUGUUGACAAGGAACAAGAGGUUUGGUGCAGCAGCUGAAGCAGCCCACACCAGAGUGCCUGAGCCCGAGUUCUGCUGCACUGUUGAUCCCAGCUUCCUGCGAAUGUGCACCCCGGCAGGCGGCACGUAGCAGCUUACAUGGUCGGAUCCCUGCCACCCCAUGAAAGACCCACAUUGAGUUCUGGGCUCCUGGCUUCACCUGGCCCAGCCCUGGCUGCUGCCGGCAUUUGGGGAGGACCAUUGGCUGGGAGGUCUGCCUGUCUGCUUUCAAGACCCAGGUUCUGGCUGCUCUUGGACGCACACCUGUUGAAAGAUCUGCAAGCACAGCCAUCCAGAAGCAAUCCCGGGAUAACAAGAGUCCUUUCUCCUCCCCUGAUCCCGCAGCUCUCAUCCUCCGAGGGUGCUUGGCGACACUGCGUCUAGAUGCCCCAACAGGCUCACUUUCGAGGCGCUUCUCCAUGUCCUCACAAACCCAAGACGCUGGCUCUGCAGCAGCCCAGACCUUCGGAAGGCACUGUGGCACAAGGUCACCAAGUCUCUGUGGGUGGCCCCGUGGGUCCUCAGUCUGAGGCCACAGUGGGGGAAGGGUGCGUGUCGGAGGCCACCGGGUCAGAGCGUGCGGGUGGGGGGGGGCACCACGAGGACCUCUGGUGUCCUGGGAGAGGGAGCUGUUUUCAUCUACCCGUGAGCUUCACGAGCAGAGCGCAGCCUCACAUUUACACAGAGUGUGUUCAUGACACUGCGUACCCUCCCCACGUCUAAAGCAUCUGUUCCCUGUCACACGCUGGAGAUGACAAGGAGCACAGGACAAAGGCCCCGCUGGCACAGACGGCCCAGCACCCUGUGAACGAGGUGAGACGUGACUUGACCCACCGGUGCAGAGGAGCGGCACAGUUCUGCUCUCUGAAGGGUGGGCUUCCAGGGCACAGGCGUUUGCAUCCCUUGUGAGAGAGAACAGGCUGGGGCGGUCAGACACUUCCCUGAGGCAGAGGGAGGUGGGAACUGUGGUGAGCUGUCCCCUCAUUUCAGUCAGAGUUACAGAGAGAGGAAGACAGAGCUCUUCCUUCUACUAGUUCCCUCCCCAGAUGGCCUUGGUUGGGGCUGGGCCAGGCUGAAGCCAGGAUCCUGCGAUGCCACCCAGGUUUCUCACGUGAGUGGCAGGGGCCCAAGCACUUGGGUCAUCCUCUGCUGUCUCCUAGGCACAUCUGCAGGGAACAGGAUUGGAAGUGGAGCAGCUGGGAUUGAACCAGCACUGAGAGGGAUGCCAGCAUCACAGACAGCUUAACCCGCUGCACCACAAAGCCAGUCCCACCCCAGUGAUUUUUUUUUUUUUUUUGA